CAGAACUCACAACUGGAGUUCUAUAUGUUCUACUCCGGUCUGACCAAGUCGCGAUAGUGCACGGACGCGUUUUUUUUGCAGCUAGUUUCUUGAUACUUAUAAAUAACGGAAUUCAGGCAAAUACUUGACUGGCGAGGAUAUUGGUUAAGACGAAACGGUGUUUAUACGUCCAAAGGGAUUAGAUAUAGAAACUUCUGAUUGCUGAAACCAAAAAGGCCCGCUAAAGCGGGCGCAACCCCCAACAUAACCUGCACCUGCGUGUGCGGUUAAUCGAAAAAAUGGGAGAUCACCCACAACAUCUUCCGAGAGUGCUAAGACCACCUCGGACGUAUGCUACUUCUGGCCUUAAGCUUAAUAAUAGGCAUAACACCCGCGUUACUACGAAAGAGUCUAUAGGCGAAAACAAAAAUGGUCUGAAUCCAAAGAGGAACUCACUGAUACAAGCAAGACUUAACCACACUAAAAGUUCGAACAACUUAGAUCAAAUUAACACAACAGCCAAAGGUGAUGACCUAAAGGAUACAAAAAUGGAAACUGAAGACAUAUCGCUCGAAGAAAUCGAAAAGAUUAUCCAUACACCAAAUGACAAUAAAACCCUAACACAGAGUCAACCGAUAACAGAGACAAACACGAGCAGCUUAGACCAGCGCAAUCACGAAUCCCAGAACACGUCGCACGAAAACUCAAAAGCUGACAGUGAAAGGAAGAGACCUGCCGAAUUUAGAUCGCCAGAGUCAUCAUCCCCCAACAAUCAAAGAUUCAAGAAAAAACCUUACAACGACAAUGCUAGAAAAAAUCUAUUCAAUGACCACUCUUUACCGACCGAUCCCAAUGAUAACAGAAAUGAUAAAGAUUUACCAUCAGAGUACGACAUUACCAUACAAGGACCAUACAAAAUCUACCUACAAUCAAUUGACAAUGAUAGACUAGAUGCUAUAAAGAUUGCUAAAUCCCUAAUUCCAAAAAUUGAAAUCAAAGACUCCUUACAUGAAAUAAAACAAUUAAGCUAUAAUAAAGUUUGUGUUAUAGCCAAAUAUAGAAAUAUAGCCAACCUUAUCUUAAACUUGACAGAUUGGAAGGAUCUAAAAAUCCGUGCGUUCAUCCCAAACCAUCUGCUUUCAAAGCAAGGAAUCAUUAAGGGUAUUCCAGUAGAAAUAACUGAUGAUGAAUUAAAACAGUUCAUCGAAUUAGACUCUCCUUUUGGUCCACUCCAGAUCACACACACACGAAGAUUCACGAAAAAGAUAUACAACAAAUCAACCGAUAAAGUAGAUAUCCUCCCAACAAAAACAGUUCAAAUAACAGUGAAAGGACAAUUUCUACCGGCAGAGGCUAAGGUCUUAAAAGUAAUUUACCCAAUUGAAACAUACUACCCGCAAGUAAGACAAUGCUACAGAUGCUUUAGAUUUGGUCAUAUCAAAAACAAUUGCAAAGCCCCAAAUGAAAGAUGCAUCAGAUGCGGUGAACCAAAACAUACAGAUGGAAAUGAAUGUCCAUACAUUAACACACAACCUACAUGUUUACACUGUAAACAAAACCACCUCCCAAUUGACAAAAGUUGUCCUGCAAAAAUUGAAGAGCAAAACCUAAAAAACAUGGCAACAGAUCAAAACAUUACAAUAGCCGAAUUAAAAAACCAAUUAAGAAAAAUGCCUGCGUAUAACAAAUCACAUUUUCCAACCAUUGGUAACUCCUCACAACCAACGCAAGCUCAGACAGACACACUAAAAAAUACCAUGUAUGCGGAUAAAGUAAAAUCCUACUCCAAACAGCCAAGGAACCAUCCUACUCAACCUUCAGUGGAACCAACAGAUAUAUAGGGGGUCUACCCAAUCAGUAGGUCAUAACCAUCAACUCACCCAAUCCCCCUCUCAAAAAUCAAAAAACAACAACUUUACUCCCAACUUUAGAUUGGCAAAACAGCACACGGAUUGUUUGUCAUAUGUAAAUGGCAACACCAAUCUAAAAAUCAAACCAAUCAAUCAUAGAAUGACAGCGAAAGACUUUUUUGAUCACAGUUAUCUUCAAGACACUCAUGAUAAUUUAAAUUUCACACCAAUAGAGGAAAAAAUUAAUUAUAUUACUGAAAUUAUUAACGACUUACCAAUAACUGAAAUCCGAAAAAUCUUAAGACUAACUGAAAAUAGAAUCAAUCACAGGGAACAACAAUUAAAACAGUCAAAUGUACUGUUGACACAAGUCCAAAAUACCUAUAAUGACGCAGUUAAUGAAACAGAUAAUUUAAGCAAAAAAAAUGAUAACACUAAUGAAGAAUCAAGCUCCACAGAGCUUUAAACAAACACGUAAAUCGAACUAAUAGCAAUUCCAUGCUUAUAAAUGUUUUUCGACAUCUAAUUUUCAAUCUUAAAUUAUAUUUAAAAAAUGGAAGAUACAAUUCAAGGUAAUCCAAACAAAUGUAAAAUCAAAAACAAUCUUAAAAUCCUUCAAUGGAAUUGCCGCUCAAUUUCAAAUAAAACUGAUUUCAUCAAAAAUAUAGCCGACAACUACGACAUAAUUCUUCUCUCAGAGACAUGGCUCUCAGACCAAAAAAAAUUUACAAUAAAAAACUUCAAUAUGGUAAGAAGAGAUAGAGCAGAAAACAACAACAAUUUAAAUAAAGAGCAUAAUGGAGAAGUCUGUAUUCUCGUCAAAUCAAUCCUGAUAUUUGAAGAGUAUAAACCAUUAUAUAACAGCCCGGAAAGUUUAGAAACAGUUGCUGUCACAGUACAUCUCAACAACGAAGAAGAAAUAUUAAUCAGUUCAAUAUACAGAGUUCCUGGAAAAGUUACCACAGCGGAAGAAUGGUACAAAUUCUUUCAAUCAAUUGAUAAAAUCAAAUAUAAAAUAAUUGGUGGAGAUUUUAAUGCACACAAUUUACUAUGGGGAUCAACAAACAACUGUAAAACUGGAGAGAAUCUUUUAGAAAUUAUCGACGAUAAAGACCUUAUAAUUCUUAAUGACGGUUCAAUGACCUACUCCAAAGUAGUUAACAAUAACAUAACUUUUUCUGCUAUAGACUUAACAAUAGUAUCAUCAGACUUAUUUCUCCAAAGUCACUGGAAAAUCCUAGACGAUAAAAUGUACAGUGAUCAUUACCUAAUUGAAAUCGAGAUUAACAAAGACAUAAAAAUAUGCCCUACAGCAUCAAGCCAUAAAAUAAAAACAAAGUCUAUUAACUGGACAAACUUCAACCUACUAGUAGAAGCUAUAGUUGACACUCAAUACCCUAUAGACCAAUUUCAUGAAUUUUCGAAUAAACCGAUAGAUGAAAAAUAUAACAUACUAAUGAAUAUUCUAAUAAGUGCCAUAAACGAACUAAAACCUAAACCAAAAAAGUCACACAACAAAGAAAAAAUAAAUGAAAUAAACAACCCCAGUGAUGACAAUUCUACAAUGAAUAACCAUCCAUGUUAUAAAGUAUACUCCCCUUUAAUAACCGAUAACAGAACCCAAUUUAUUAAGAAUAAACUAAAAGCAUCACAUAUACCUCAAUCAAUAAAACCACCUUGGUGGAAUGAGGAAGCCGAAGAGAUUAAUAACACCAGGAAAAAUCUAGAAAAAAGCCUGAAACAAAAUCCAUCGUUGGAACAACUCAAAGAACUAAAGGACUAUGAAAUAGAAUCAAAAUUCAAACUAAAAGAAAUUAAAUUAAACAGUUUUAAGAAAUAUACAGAAACUAAACUGUCUAGAGAAGCCAACAUAAAUGAAGUCUGGGAAACCAUCCAUAAAUUUAACGAAAAAAAAAAGAAAUAACCCAAUAUACUUAGACUCAGAGACAAUAAAUAACAUGCACCAAUUCAUCUCAGACUUUUGCCCGCAAACAGCUUCUUAUAAUCAACCCCCAGGAUCUAUCGAAAACAUAGAGGCCGAAAUAAAUAGUGACAUCGACAGUCCAUUUAAUUUAAAAGAACUGACAAUAGCGAUUGAGUCAUGCAACAAAAAAUCUAGCCCUGGGUUAGACCAAAUAGACAACAUUAUGCUCAACAACACUCCAAACAACUAUAGAGCGCUGCUUUUACACACCAUAAAUGAUAUAAUUGCCAGCGGAAGGUUUCCACGAGAGUGGAAAGAAUUCCUGGUAAUGCUACUACCCAAAAAAGAAAAAAAUAAAUUCAGACCUAUCACAUUAGCUUCAUGUAUGCUAAAACUAGCCGAAAAACUCAUACAAACACGAUUAAUCUACUACCUAGAGAGCAAUGCACUCUUACCCGAUUCUCAAAAUGGCUUCAGAAAAGCUAAGUCAUGCGCCACUAGUAUUGCUUAUCUAAUCGCUCAAAUACAUAAAGCUUUUAUAGAAAAUUCGCAUAUUAUUACAUUGCUGAUAGACAUUAAGUCUGCUUUCGACAUGGUCAAUCCGAAUAUGUUACAAAAUAUACUGGAAGAUCUUAAAAUACCAAUUAAAACAAGAACAUUCAUAUUCAACCUAAUGACAAACAGAAAUCUCUAUUUUUAAAUUAAUCACAAACUAGUGGGACCCUUCUACAGACACAUUGGAGUCCCCCAAGGCUGCGUUCUAAGCCCGACCCUCUACCUCAUUUAUGUUAUCUAUCUCAACCGACACAUUAAUCCUAAAAACAAUAUCAUACAAUUCGCAGACGACACAAUAAUAUUUACAAACAAUAAAUCUGUAGAAGAAGGCCUAGCUACAUUACAAAACAACACAAGUGAGAUUAUCAACUUUUUCCAAUCCAUAGGACUAGAUAUAGCUCCGAAUAAAACACAAUUGAUCAUCUUCUCCAACAAAAAUAUAGAUCCCAACAUAUCUAUCACCAUAAAUGGACAUAAAAUUAAAAAUGAACAAGCUGUUAAAUACCUUGGAGUAUGGCUCGACUCCAAACUAAACUGGAAUACACACGCACAAAAUCUUAUUGAAAAAAUACAAAAAACUAUAAAUAUUAUAAAAGUCUUGAGAACGACUUGGUGGGGAGGACAUCCUCAAGUACUCCUCAAUGUCUAUAAAGGUUUGAUUAGAAGCAUCACCGAUUAUAACUGUUUCUGUAUAAAUAUCAAGAAUCCAAAACUAAGAGAAAAAAUCAACAAGCUACAAUACAAAGCAAUCAGAUUGGCACUAGGAUAUAGAAACUCUACACCUAUCAAUGUCAUGCUGGCAGAAUCCAAAGAAGUCCCCAUAACAACCAGAACGGAGUACUUAGCAGACAAACUAGCGGUCAAGAUCAUAUCAAUAGAAUCAGAUAGACUUUCUAACAUGCUCUGCGAAUUAUUUGUCCUAGCAAGAAAUAAAAACAAAAUUUUCACCGUAAGCUCUUUCCCUUUAUUCAAAUCAUUUAUACACUACUUUUAUCACAGAGGUCACUUUAUCAAAAAAUUUAACUUACCACUUCCUUACCCAUACAAGCUUGAAACAAUGCUAAAUGACAAAGAGGACGAGAUCAUCUCAAUAAAAGAAGGUUCUAUCAUACAAAAAUCAGAAAACCCCAAUACUGCAUUUGAGGAGAUGUUUUAUAAUAACCCAUCCGAAGAAACGGUUGACUUUUUUACUGACGGUUCUAAAACAGAAGACAAAAAUCACACAGGAGCAGCAAUUUAUUCACCAUACAAUAAUCUCGAAAAAAAAUUCAAAUUCAACAAAAUUGCAUCCAUAUUUACAGCUGAAGCAUUUGCUAUUUUACAAACACUGAAAAUAGUACUAAACAAAAAUAUAAAAACUUCCAGAAUUUUUACUGAUUCCCAGUCAGUCCUACAAGCGAUUAAAUAUUUCUCCCCACUAAAAACAAAAAAUAUGUCUUAUCUUAUUCUAGACAUAAAAAACCUAUUAUACGAGAUUAUAAACAAAAAACUAAAACUGAAAAUUUACUGGAUACCCGCUCAUAAAAACAUUACAAAUAACGAAAUAGUAGACAAAUUAGCUAAAGAUGCCAUUACAACAGGUGAUCAAGUUGACCUAAAACUUCCAUACACUGAUAUGUUUGAAGAAAUCAAAAAAAAGGAACACAAAAGCUUCAGAAAAAAACUAGACCACGAAAAAACAUACAAGGGUAAACUAUACUUCGAAAAUUAUUAUGAAGAUACUCCAAAACCCUGGUUUUAUAAAACCAUUGCUAACAGAUAUCAUAUAACAACAAUUAACAGAAUUCGUUCAAACCACUACUCUCUAGCAGAGAGUCUAUUCAGGAAAAACCUAACCGACUCAGAAGAAUGCAAAUGCGGAUUCCUCACAGAAGAUUUAGAUCACGUUAUAAAUGAAUGCCCGCUCUAUAUUAAAGAGAGAGCAUCCCUACUUAAAAAAUUAAAAAAAACAAAUCAACAAUUCCUUUAGACUUGAAAAAAACAUUUAAAAUGCCUAACAGCAUAGAAGCAAAAUUUCUAACAGAAUUUUUCAAAGCCUGUAAUUUAGCUUUAUAAUCAAAAAUUUACACAUUAUGUAGAUGAUUUCACCUGACUUAUUCUAUAAGAUGUAACAGAAAAACCACGGUGCUGAUCAAUAAUCGGCCUCGAGAUACCUUACUGCCAAACCAAAAACAAAAUCGCCGCCAACUACAAUAACAGACCUUAAUUCAAAUUAUUACCGGGUGAUGGCAGCACGAGUCUAACUCAUUGCCAAGAAAAAAAAAGAAGAAGAAGAACUCACAACUCGUGAACUUACGUCCCGAUGCGACAGAAAUUUUUCUGUUGACCAAAAAAUUAGGUAAAAUAAAGUAUCGAUAUUUACGUAUAACAUAUCGAUAUUUCCAAUAAUCGGUUAGUAAAAUAUCGAUAAAAAAUUCCGAUAUAUUGAAACAAAAAUAUCGAUAUUUGCACUUAUCGAUAAUUAUUGAACAUCACUAAUUUGACAAUGGCAUAGAUGCAUCAGAGAAGAAAUCGCGGCGGAGGCGAUGCGUACAAAUUUAAAUCGCUCGUGCUUUAGGUAGAAUUGAGCUUCCAGGAUGGCCGGAAACUUUUGGCACAGCUCGCAUCAUCAACAAUGGCUAUUGGAUAAGCAAGAUUUGGUCAGAGAGAGGCAGUACGAUCUCUCAAUUUUGACCGAGGAAGAGUAUCAAAAGUUGUUUAUUUUUUUUGCUAAUCUAAUUCAGGUGUUUGGUGAACAGCUCAAGCUGAGACAGCAGGUCAUUGCCACAGCUACAGUUUAUUUUAAAAGCUUCCAAAGUUGAGGAAUUUGGCGUAAUUUCAAAUAACAGAUUACUUACAACUUGUCAAACAGUUUUGAAAAGCAAAUUUACAUAUGCCUAUGCACAAGAAUUUCCAUAUAGAACAAACCAUAUUUUGGAAUGUGAAUUUUAUUUAUUAGAGCACCUUGACUGCUGCUUAAUUGUGUACCAACCUUAUCGCCCAUUACUUACUUUAAUUCAAGACGUUGGCCCUGAUGAUCAAUUACUUACACUAGCCUGGAGAAUCAUCAAUGACAGUUUGCGCACUGAUGUUUGCUUACUGUAUCCUCCAUAUCAAAUAGCAAUUGGUUGCCUACAAAUAGCUUGCGUCAUAUUACAAAAAGACCUUAAAUCAUGGUUUGCUGAACUAAACGCAGACAUGGAAAAAAUUCAAGAAAUAGCUAGGUAUAUAAUUAACUUAUAUGAGCUCUGGAAAACUUAUGACGAGAAAAAAGAAAUUCAGGCUUUACUAAACAAAAUGCCAAAACCAAAAGCUGCUCCUCAGCGUUAAGACUCUUUACUACAUCUUUUCAUAAGCACCGCAUUUAUAUGUAAUAAUUUUAUUUUUAUACGUUGAAACAAAAAUUUAUAGGAAAUCAAAUUAAAUAAUAAUUUAUAAAAUAAAAUAAUUAACGGUUACAAUAUAUAAUAAAACGCUGUGUAUUUUCACCGCAAAUUCACGUAGAUCCACGUAAAUACGCGUUUAAAACUUGAUUUCAUCGACGACUUUAAAACGUGUAUUUACGUUGACGAAGUAUAGACACGUAUUUUCCAGAAACGUAAAUUUUCCGCGUUAGCGUACGUAAUUUUUUAGGCACUGUCUACGUACACCCACCCGUGUACAUAUACGGUACACGGGUUUUCCCUGCGGAUAUAAGAAGUUAAGAAAAUAUUCAACCCGUGUACGUUUGCGAAGAGUGUGCCUGGGUGGGUAUGAUUGCUUCAGCACAUCUGAGUGAAAAGAUCAGUAUGCUAAAGCAACAGUACACAGAUUUACUCUUUGCAAAAGAAAAGUAAAUUUCAAGUCACUAAUUAAUCAAUCAUACCCUGGAUCUACGUGGAUUUACGUGAAUUUGUGAUGCGAAUAGACACGGCGAUAAUAAAAGGUCUUUUACAGAGCAUUUUUAUAAAAUUUAUGCUAUUUAUUUUACAAUAAAUCAUCCUGUAUUGCAA
RNA transcript from Nasonia vitripennis (jewel wasp), 8279 nucleotides. It is a transcript of the gene named cyclin-C, with no coding region annotated. NCBI's taxonomy places the organism in Eukaryota, Metazoa, Arthropoda, Insecta, Hymenoptera, Pteromalidae. The transcript has 6 exons. The record is from RefSeq and is a predicted model, not a curated record.